AAUCUGGCUCUUUCAGAGUCCGAGUUGUAAUUUGCAGAGGGCGCUUUGGCGUUGGCAGCGGUCCAAGUUCUUUGGAACAGGACGUCACAGAGGGUGAGAAUCCCGUACGUGGUCGCUAGCCUUCGCCGUGUAAAGCCCCUUCGACGAGUCGAGUUGUUUGGGAAUGCAGCUCUAAAUGGGAGGUAAAUUUCUUCUAAAGCUAAAUACUGGCCAGAGACCGAUAGCGCACAAGUAGAGUGAUCGAAAGAUGAAAAGCACUUUGGAAAGAGAGUCAAAUAGCACGUGAAAUUGUUGAAAGGGAAGCGCUUGCAGCCAGACUUGCCUGUAGUUGCUUAUCUGGACUUUUGUCCGGUGCACUCUUCUGCGGGCAGGCCAGCAUCAGUUUGGGCGGUUGGAUAAAGGUCUCUGUCAUGUACCUCCUUUCGGGGAGGCCUUAUAGGGGAGACGACAUGCAACCAGCCUGGACUGAGGUCCGCGCAUCUGCUAGGAUGCUGGCGUAAUGGCUGUAAGCGGC
This 514-nucleotide ribosomal RNA is filed under the name Phoma sp. OTU3 TS-2013. Its description in RNAcentral is "eukaryotic LSU rRNA". It matches the Rfam family "Eukaryotic large subunit ribosomal RNA", at positions 119 to 648 of the family's 3401-position model. The record is from RNAcentral. Lineage: Eukaryota; Fungi; Ascomycota; Dothideomycetes; Pleosporales; Didymellaceae.